This 492-nucleotide ribosomal RNA is filed under the name uncultured bacterium. RNAcentral's name for it is "partial 16S ribosomal RNA". It matches the Rfam family "Bacterial small subunit ribosomal RNA", at positions 29 to 507 of the family's 1533-position model. The record is from RNAcentral.
AGUGAACGCUGGCGGUAGGCCUAACACAUGCCAGUCGAACGGCAGCACAGUAAGAGCUUGCUCUUACGGGUGGCGAGUGGCGGACGGGUGAGGAAUACAUCGGAAUCUACUUUUUCGUGGGGGAUAACGUAGGGAAACUUACGCUAAUACCGCAUACGACCUACGGGUGAAAGCAGGGGAUCUUCGGACCUUGCGCGAUUGAAUGAGCCGAUGUCGGAUUAGCUAGUUGGCGGGGUAAAGGCCCACCAAGGCGACGAUCCGUAGCUGGUCUGAGAGGAUGAUCAGCCACACUGGAACUGAGACACGGUCCAGACUCCUACGGGAGGCAGCAGUGGGGAAUAUUGGACAAUGGGCGCAAGCCUGAUCCAGCCAUACCGCGUGGGUGAAGAUGGCCUUCGGGUUGUAAAGCCCUUUUGUUGGGAAAGAAAAGCAGCAGGUUAAUACCCCGCUGUUCUGACGGUACCCAAAGAAUAAGCACCGGCUAACUUCGUG